UACAGAGGUCUCAAGCGUUGUUCGGAUUCAUUGGGCGUAAAGGGCUCGUAGGCGGUUCGUCACGUCGGGAGUGAAAACUCGGGGCUUAACCCCGAGCCUGCUUCCGAUACGGGCAGACUAGAGGUAGGCAGGGGAGAGCGGAACUCCUGGUGUAGCGGUGGAAUGCGCAGAUAUCAGGAAGAACACCGGUGGCGAAGGCGGCUCUCUGGGCCUUACCUGACGCUGAGGAGCGAAAGCGUGGGUAGCGAACAGG
RNAcentral lists this ribosomal RNA (253 nucleotides) under uncultured bacterium. RNAcentral describes it as "partial 16S ribosomal RNA". It matches the Rfam family "Bacterial small subunit ribosomal RNA", at positions 524 to 776 of the family's 1533-position model. The record is from RNAcentral.